RNAcentral lists this ribosomal RNA (296 nucleotides) under uncultured bacterium. RNAcentral describes it as "partial 16S ribosomal RNA". It matches the Rfam family "Bacterial small subunit ribosomal RNA", at positions 30 to 322 of the family's 1533-position model. The record is from RNAcentral.
AUUGAACGCUGGCGGCAUGCCUUACACAUGCAAGUCGAACGGCAGCACGGGAGCAAUCCUGGUGGCGAGUGGCGAACGGGUGAGUAAUAUAUCGGAACGUGCCCAGUCGUGGGGAUAACGUAGCGAAAGCUACGCUAAUACCGCAUACGAUCUAUGGAUGAAAGCGGGGGAUCGCAAGACCUCGCGCGAUUGGAGCGGCCGAUAUCAGAUUAGGUAGUUGGUGAGGUAAAGGCGUCACCCAACGACCGACCGAUCUGUAGCUGGUCUGAGAGGACGACCAGCACACUGGGACGUGA